This 492-nucleotide ribosomal RNA is filed under the name uncultured bacterium. RNAcentral's name for it is "partial 16S ribosomal RNA". It matches the Rfam family "Bacterial small subunit ribosomal RNA", at positions 29 to 507 of the family's 1533-position model. The record is from RNAcentral.
AGUGAACGCUGGCGGUAGGCCUAACACAUGCCAGUCGAACGGCAGCACAGUAAGAGCUUGCUCUUACGGGUGGCGAGUGGCGGACGGGUGAGGAAUACAUCGUAAUCUACUUUUUCGUGGGGGAUAACGUAGGGAAACUUACGCUAAUACCGCAUACGACCUACGGGUGAAAGCAGGGGAUCUUCGGACCUUGCGCGAUUGAAUGAGCCGAUGUCGGAUUAGCUAGUUGGCGGGGUAAAGGCCCACCAAGGCGACGAUCCGUGGCUGGUCUGAGAGGAUGAUCAGCCACACUGGAACUGAGACACGGUCCAGACUCCUACGGGAGGCAGCAGUGGGGAAUAUUGGACAAUGGGCGCGAGCCUGAUCCAGCCAUACCGCGUGGGUGGAGGAGGCCUUCGGGUUGUAAAGCCCUUUUGUUGGGAAAGAAAAGCAGCAGGUUAAUACCCCGCUGUUCUGACGGUACCCAAAGAAUAAGCACCGGCUAACUUCGUG